Molecule: transfer RNA, 73 nt
Filed under: Felis catus (domestic cat)
Lineage: Eukaryota; Metazoa; Chordata; Mammalia; Carnivora; Felidae
Rfam family: tRNA
About the family: Transfer RNA (tRNA) molecules are approximately 80 nucleotides in length. Their secondary structure includes four short double-helical elements and three loops (D, anti-codon, and T loops).
Source: Rfam by way of RNAcentral
ACCUAGCUGGCUCAGUCGAUAGAGCAUGUGACUCUUGAUUUCAAGGUUGUGAGUUCAAACCCCACGCUGAGUG